CCCAGAGGUGAGGCAGGUGAAAGCAGGUGGAGCAGGUGGUCUGGAGCUGCAGUAUCCCCGCGGAAUCCCCCACCCGGGGCCACCUGUUGUUGGUAGAAUCCUGUCUCAGCCUUCUCUCCACCGGGAAGCUUUGUGUCAGAGGUCCAAGGUGGCAGUUACUAGUCACCUGUAACUAAAUAAGCCUCGAAGCCACUCCUGCAGGUUGGACAGCGAAGAAACAUCUAGAAAGCAAGGUUGGGAAGAAAACAAAGAUGAAGGCAGCCACUGGCACCUGCCUCAGAGCUCUGAGGAGCCUGAGAAACCCAGGGAGGCUCCAGAGGAUGAUGUGGCGACUGACGAGGAGUCCGCAGAGCCUGCAGUAGUCCCAGAACAACAACAAAAAACAAAAAUAAAAGGACAAGUCUUAUGGGAGGAUGCUCUUCAAAAGAUGUUGGAUCUCUUCCUUUCACUUCUGCAUCUCAGCCAGUGGCCUUCAGGGUCAAAGGUCAUGCCUGAUGAGCCAUGGGGCAGCCAGUGCUGAUGACAAGGAGAUGUGCAUUGGCCUGGAGCUCCUGCAGAAACAGGUUGAUACCGAAUAGAGCCGGCUCUAGGCCUGCUGGCUGUCCCCCAGCAUGGAGCUGUUGUAGAUGCAGCCUGCCUGCUGUCUACAAGCACAGAAGUUGAGCCCGGCAAGCCUGGGGUGGCAGACAUCGAGGGUGGAGAGGUAUGUGGCAGCAAGAAACUCAUAUAGAACCUGCCCCCAGAUGUCCUCCCUAGCUGCUGCAUCACCCUGACUCCCAGCAGCAGCAGAAUGUCCGAGACCCUGCAGUAAUCCAGUAUGUAUGUGCUUCGGAAACCAGAACCCUUAAACCAGACCAAUGGUUCAUUACAAAGACUAUUUGCAUGUAAAGCUGUUGGAGAAUUAAAAAAAAAAAAAACAACUGUGUGACACAUUGCCGUUUCCAAAGCCUCUGCAAGGAACGGAUAUGCGAUGGAGAGGUGAGAAAGAUGGAGGAACAGAGCCAUGAGUGUGUGGUGGAGAGAGGUGGAACUAGAGACUCGACAGCAGUGACAGGUGUGAGAGAAGAUGCAAGUGGACGGGGGCGGGGUGAUCAUGUUGUCGCUGAGUAGCACUGACAGGGUGGUUGUGCAGCAGCCCGGAGCUUGCGCUCACUCAGCCCCCAAAAGCCUGCCAAACUGCAAGCUCGCCCUGAUUCUGAGCAACGACAGGAUGUUCUACAUGAACAAUGGUUCAUUUUCUGGAUUGGACCUCCUCAGAAGACCUCUGUGGUCUGUGCUGUCUCUGGAGACCAUGUUGAUAUCUGUGGUCCCCUGUUAUAUUGAAGCCGAAGGGUCUUGUGAAUGCCUGUGGUCUGGGCUGCCACUGGAGGCCAUGUUGGCAUGACUGUCCUGUGGUGCCAUCUGAGGCUAGGUUGAUGUCCAUGAUCUGUGCUGCUGCAGUGGGCCAUGUCUGGGUCCAUGGUCCUGCCGCAGCCGGGGGUUGGGUUGAUGUCAUGUGCCGCUGCCUGGAGUCAUGCUAAUGUCCAUGAGGUGGGCUGCCUCCAGGGACUGUGCUGUUAUGUCCCGCAUUGAGCCAGAAGCCAUGAUGGUGCCUAUGGCCUGUGCUGCAGAAGAGAUCCGUGUUGAUGUACGUGGUGUACUGCCACCAGAGACCAUGCUGUGGCACAUGCUGACGUCAGAGACCAUGCGGAUGAUUGUGAUCCCUACUAUCACCAGAAACGAUGUGGAAGUUCAUGAUCCAUGUUCCCGCUGGCUUAUAGGGCAAGGAAUAGACAUUUAUAGUGGUAUCAAUGACUGUGGACUCACAGUUGAGAAAAAGGGCCAUAGAAGGCUUUAACCCCCUUUACCCCUCAUCUCCCCAAAAGUAACAGCCUAGACAGGGAACCAUUGAAGAGAACUUUUAGAAACUGUGAUAAAAAUGCUGAAGUAUAGCUCUCCAGAGUUGAUGGCUUUUUGUGAGGGUAUGGGUGGGAAGGACCCAGUUUUCUUUAAGGGGCUGGCCACUGGAAGUUUGAUCAUGCUUUAGUGAGUAUAUGGGCAACAAAAAUUGGACUUCUUCCUUUCCCUCUCCAUUCUCCUCCACCACCUCGUCCUCCUCUUCCUUUUCUUUCUUCCAGGAGUGAGUCCUCAAGGAUAGAGGGCAGACCUGGGAGGACUCCGUGAGUGUGAUGGGGUGCAUGAUAUGAAAUUUCCAGAUAAUCAAUAAAAAUGUUGUGUGGGGAACAAAAAAAGAAAGUAGAGGGAGACCUUAUGACAACCUCACGUAGUUCUCAGGCUACAAGGCCUGAGGGGCCUAUAGGGAGAGAGGAGUCCCGAGUGCUCUCGGGGGUCCUAAGCCCUUCCUCUGCCAACUGCCUCCCACCGUGGGGCCGUCUUUCUUCCUGGGCUGCAGGCAGAGCCGUGCAGCCUGCCCCGGGAGCAGAUGGGAGUGCCUGCAUAUCCCGCUACUGUUGUCACGAGGUGCUGUACAGACAGCAUACACACCGGGUGGUGUUAACAGUGAUAGGCUUAUUGUUAUUUACUUCAAAAUAAACUAAU
Psammomys obesus (fat sand rat) is the source of this 2538-nucleotide long non-coding RNA. RefSeq lists it as uncharacterized. NCBI's taxonomy places the organism in Eukaryota, Metazoa, Chordata, Mammalia, Rodentia, Muridae. The record is from RefSeq and is a predicted model, not a curated record. The transcript is spliced from 3 exons.